UUCUGUGACUGCUACUUUUCAGUAUCUGUUAUUCUUAACUGUGAUUUGUCGCAGUUAAGAAUCGCAGUUAAGGAAUCCAGCUCUUGUAUCCCUCCGCACUCUACCACUGCGAUUUCUGCGACUUCUGCGAUUUCUGCUAUUUCUGCGAUUUCUGCUACUUCUGCGACUUAUCUCCGAAUGAAAAAGUUACAUGUGUUCACACAGAGAAUUGCAUCUCAAGAAAACUGACAUUAGUACCCGAACUACAUUUCAGUCACUCAGUAAAGCGAUAAUUCGAAAUAUUAUCGUCAAUAGCCACUGCGUUUUUAGACUGUCUUCGUCAGACGAGAGACGCAGUUCCAACCCCGAUUACUGGUUUCUGUACGUAUCUAUCCACUUCAAGGCUCUUGGGAGAGAAUCGUGAAUAUUCAAGACAGCUCUUAGAGGAUUUGCAGUUUAAAAGUGCCAUAAUUAUGAAAUAAGUGUGCAUAAUGAGUGAUUGAACUGUGUUUAAUUUGAAGUUCUUAUGCGAUUUUAAAGGAAUGAUAAAUGUUAAAUACAGUGAGUGAAUAAAUAAAAUAUUUUCCACGUGUUAA
Molecule: long non-coding RNA, 575 nt
Organism: Schistocerca piceifrons (Central American locust)
Lineage: Eukaryota; Metazoa; Arthropoda; Insecta; Orthoptera; Acrididae
Exons: 3
Source: RefSeq, a predicted model, not a curated record